CCUUGAGGGGCAUGAGGGU
RNAcentral lists this microRNA (19 nucleotides) under Rattus norvegicus (Norway rat). RNAcentral describes it as "rno-miR-327". Its record names the gene rno-miR-327. Lineage: Eukaryota; Metazoa; Chordata; Mammalia; Rodentia; Muridae. The record is from miRBase by way of RNAcentral.